This 434-nucleotide ribosomal RNA is filed under the name Yersinia enterocolitica. RNAcentral describes it as "bacterial SSU rRNA". It matches the Rfam family "Bacterial small subunit ribosomal RNA", at positions 1098 to 1531 of the family's 1533-position model. The record is from RNAcentral. Lineage: Bacteria; Pseudomonadati; Pseudomonadota; Gammaproteobacteria; Enterobacterales; Yersiniaceae.
GCAACCCUUAUCCUUUGUUGCCAGCGAGUAAUGUCGGGAACUCAAAGGAGACUGCCGGUGAUAAACCGGAGGAAGGUGGGGAUGACGUCAAGUCAUCAUGGCCCUUACGAGUAGGGCUACACACGUGCUACAAUGGCAGAUACAAAGUGAAGCGAACUCGCGAGAGCAAGCGGACCACAUAAAGUCUGUCGUAGUCCGGAUUGGAGUCUGCAACUCGACUCCAUGAAGUCGGAAUCGCUAGUAAUCGUAGAUCAGAAUGCUACGGUGAAUACGUUCCCGGGCCUUGUACACACCGCCCGUCACACCAUGGGAGUGGGUUGCAAAAGAAGUAGGUAGCUUAACCUUCGGGAGGGCGCUUACCACUUUGUGAUUCAUGACUGGGGUGAAGUCGUAACAAGGUAACCGUAGGGGAACCUGCGGUUGGAUCACCUCCU